UGCGCUUAUGGGCGGNGAGCGGAGCGACGGGUGAGUAAUGCCUGGGAAUAUGCCCUGGUGUGGGGGAUAACCAUUGGAAACGAUGGCUAAUACCGCAUAAUCUCUUCGGAGCAAAGAGGGGGACCUUCGGGCCUCUCGCGUCAGGAUUAGCCCAGGUGAGAUUAGCUAGUUGGAGAGGAAAGAGCUCACCAAGGCGACUAUCUCUAGCUGGUCUGAGAGGAUGAUCAGCCACACUGGAACUGAUACACGGUGCAGACUCCUACGGGAGGCACCAGCGGGGAAUAUUGCACAAUGGGGGAAACCCUGAUGCAGUCAUGCCGCGUGUGAGAAGAAGGCCUUCGGGUUGUAAAGCACUUUCUGUUGUGAGGAAGGCAUAUACGUUAAUACCGUGUGUGUUUGACGUUAGCAACAGAACAAGCACCGGAUAACUCCGUGCCAGCAGGCGCGGUAAUACGGAGGGUGCGAGCGUUAAUCCGAAUUACUGGGUGUAAAGCGCAUGCAGGCGGCUUGUUAAGCCAGAUGUGAAAGCCCGGGGGUCAACCUCGGAAUAGCAUUUGUAACUGGCAGGAUAGAGGCUUGUAGAGGGUGGNAGAAUUUCAGGUGUAGCGGAGAAAUGCGUAGAGAUCUGAAGGAAUACCGNUGGUGCACGGGGACCCCUGGACAAAGACUGACGCUCANAUGCGAAAGCGUGGUGAGCAAACAGGAUUAGAUACCCUGGNAGUCCACGCCGUACACGGAUGUCUACUUGGAGGUUGNAACCUUGAGUUCUGGCUUUCGGGAGCUAACGCAUUAAGUAGACCGCCCUGGGGGNAGUACGGUCGCAAGAUUAAAACUCANUAUCGAAUUGA
RNAcentral lists this ribosomal RNA (848 nucleotides) under Photobacterium rosenbergii. Its description in RNAcentral is "bacterial SSU rRNA". It matches the Rfam family "Bacterial small subunit ribosomal RNA", at positions 74 to 913 of the family's 1533-position model. RNAcentral also lists the same sequence under 1 other name. The record is from RNAcentral. Lineage: Bacteria; Pseudomonadati; Pseudomonadota; Gammaproteobacteria; Vibrionales; Vibrionaceae.